UGGCGAACGGGUGAGUAACACGUGGGUGAUCUGCCCUGCACUUCGGGAUAAGCCUGGGAAACUGGGUCUAAUACCGGAUAGGACGAUGGUUUGGAUGCCAUUGUGGAAAGUUUUUCGGUGUGGGAUGAGCUCGCGGCCUAUCAGCUUGUUGGUGGGGUAAUGGCCUACCAAGGCGUCGACGGAUAGCCGGCCUGAGAGGGUGUACGGCCACAUUGGGACUGAGAUACGGCCCAG
Molecule: ribosomal RNA, 234 nt
Filed under: uncultured Actinomycetales bacterium
Lineage: Bacteria; Bacillati; Actinomycetota; Actinomycetes; Actinomycetales
Description: partial 16S ribosomal RNA
Rfam family: Bacterial small subunit ribosomal RNA
Source: RNAcentral